Long non-coding RNA from Panicum virgatum (switchgrass), 2375 nucleotides. RefSeq lists it as uncharacterized. Lineage: Eukaryota; Viridiplantae; Streptophyta; Magnoliopsida; Poales; Poaceae. The transcript has 2 exons. The record is from RefSeq and is a predicted model, not a curated record.
AAGGGGCACGCGAAAAGACCCAUUUCCCCUGCCUUAUCCCAAUACAUGGUGCUCCUUCUCCUUCUAGCUCGAUGACCGGUGGGGAACAAUGCUAGAGAGCACCAAGUCUUUUCGCCUAUGUAUUGGUGGGGAACAAUGGAAGCAAAGCAGCAAUGUUCCCCUGAACCCUAGAAGUAUAAGAGUAAGAGAGCAGCAGGUGCUGCUUCGCUAUCUGGUUUGCUUCGAUUGGGGGGAGAAGAGCACAGGAGAGGGGAAUGAACAUUGCUGCUUGCUUGAAUAGAGGAGGGAGAGAGCGAUGGGAUAAGCAGGUAGAUGGCGUCAGGUGCUGUGGUGUUCUGCUAUUCCAUUGGAGAAUGGAUGGAUGGAGGUGUUGAAUAAUUCUUGUGCAGGUAGUUACUAGUUUCAGAGUCUUUUUCGGUUUUGAUUCUGUUCAAUGUGCAUGGCUAAGUUAGCUGGCCGUACGUUUGGGAGCUGUGACGUGCGCACGCUCGGACGGGAGCGCGCCUCGCGCACUGCGAUUCCAAAAAUGACUCGCCGCGAACGUGCACUCAGCGGGUUACUGCAAUUCUCAAGCUUGGGAUGGCAGGCUUCGUCAAAGGAUUGUGGCGCGUAUCUCAGCUCAACAGCCGGUUGUAAUUAUCUUCAUAUUCGGUGGCAACAGAGUUCAGAAAAGCUGCAAGUCGGCCAGUGAUCUCGCCGGCGGCGCGUUGGCGGCGUCGACACUCCAGCAAGCUCUGGCAGGAGGUGUGCUGGUGGCGUGGGGGGAUCUAGAGCAGAGAGAGCUGAUUCUGGUGGCCGUCGCUUGAAAAGGAAAAGAGAAAUCUUGCUCGGACUUGCUUGGUUCGGUGGAGAAGAAAUCAAAGAGGAAUUUGGAGGAGGGCUCUGUUCUGCUUCGGUUGGUGCCGGCGCCUUCGCCGGCAAUGACGGCGAGAUCGCCUCCGCUUCCCUCUUCCACAACCGCCGCUUGCCUCUCUGAUCAACCGGGACAUACACACAACAUCAAAAUUCCCGUUCGAGACCACCACGCACCAUCAAAGUCGGGUCUUUUAUUCUACCCACAUCAGUAGGAAGGUCAGUAAUUCCAUUUAAAUCUACUUGAUCACUGGUCCAUCGAUUCUAGGGUUCUUCCGUUCCGUACAUCUCACAAAUACACCAAAAUCCAAAGGAAAUCUAACCGUAAUAGGUCUUGUCGAUAUCACCCUAGACCAGAAGAACAAAUGCGCCACGCAAAUUUUCGGCUUUGGCUUCAGAAACCGAGGAUAAGGAGAGGAAACGCAGGUGCAAAAUGGGCCGACAAAAGAAAAGAAACAAGGAUUUGGGUGCUGGAGUGAGAGAACAAGAGAGAGAGGGAGAGCGGAGACCUUGCAGCCGAAUCCGGAGGCCUCGGAGUGGAUGCCGCGGUGGUGGCUGGUGCCGGCGAUGUCGAGUCCGUUUCGGCUUCCGGAACCGCCGCUUCUCGCCUUCCUCCUCUCGUCGUUGCACCCUUUUCUUCUCUGCUGCUUUUUUUUAGGGGUUUUCUUCUCUGCUGCUGUUCGUUAUGAUCUCCGUUGUGGGCCAAGUUUGGGCCUCGUGGGCUAUCGCUCAACAACUAACACACUUCCGUAUUGGAUUUUUUUAAAAUAUCUUCCUCAGAAGUGUAUUUGUAAGGAUGUACUUGUAAUCCUUCGGAUGAAUAAAUAAAAUGCAACCCGGUUUCUAAAAAAAAUACCACUCCUAUUUAUUUGAUAAAUUUUGGAAGGAGCUAAUUUUAAGAGUUUGAUACCUGGUUUCAUUGCCACGAUCUUUAUUUGACUUUUGAAUGCUGUUGUGUGUUACUACUGCGUGCUUAUCGAUCUGUACGUACGGUAAAGUAUCCAAUUCUUUCUUUAAAAAAGGUGUUCAAGGGUAGAUACAUACAGCCAUGCACGAGAUACAUAGCGUUAGAGUAGUGGUACACUGUCAAAGCAUCCUGCUUCAUUUUUUUGACCAUGCUAGCUAUAUCGUAUAGUGUUUUUUUUUAUUGAAUGGACUUGAAUUCUCUUCCAGCUAAAAGAUCGACCAAGCUGAUUUCUUCCAAAAACUAAAAAUAAAUUCAAUCAACUCGGUAUGUAGUUUCAAGAUUGAAUUGGAUUUUUUUUGUUUCUUCAUAUCAUUUUAUCUUUAUUUACACUACUUUUUAUUACUAUUGUUUCAUUAUAAAAUUAUAUGCAUCGUAAGCAUUAUUAGAUCUCUGAAAGCCUGGAUGAACCGUACGUUCAAAGUAGAUACUGGUCGUUUAGAUAUAUAUCAGCAGCCCAGUGUCUUUAAUUUUUUGCUUUUACCAUGAUGAACAUACAGAGAGAGAGAGAGAGAGAGAGAGAGAGAGAGAGAGAGAGAGAGAGAGAGAGAGAGAGAGA